GUGGACUGCGCGCCGGCUCAACAGAAUUCGAUACAACAUAGAAUCGGAGAGAGCAGAAGCAAACCGAAGCUCGAGAUGGCCAUGGAGAGGGGACGGUCUUGUCGGAGAUGCGCGGCAGAGCUUUCAGUAGGAAUAGGAGAGACUUUCCGGCGGAGUUUGCACCGAACCGGAACGGGAUUAAGUUGUAUGUAGGCAAUAGACGUGGGUGGCCAGGGUUCGAGCUUGAAUCGGCAGCAAAGGAGGAACGGCGGGCUACUGGAACUGAUUGCGAAUGAUAUCCGGGUCGGGUGGGUGCUGGGUGGUCCGGCCGUUCGUAGCCCUCUGGGCCCUUUUUUGUAGCUAGUUAAGGCUGCAUCCAUAGCUGGGACCUGAGUUCAUGUGACCUUUGCUUUCUUGCAAGUCCUCCUAUACAUUUCAGGCUUGGAUAGGGCGCUGCAGUCGGAAGCCAAAAGCGCAGAUAUUUUAGUUCUUGCAAGGAUUGCAAAUUGUCUGUUGUUAUUACGAUUUCAUUUCUCUUGCUCAACAAUAUAAUUUCUUCAGUACUAUAAGUUUUUAUUUUUUUUAAUAUAAUUUUCAUUAGGCUUUUUA
This is a long non-coding RNA of Arachis ipaensis, 588 nucleotides long. RefSeq lists it as uncharacterized. The record is from RefSeq and is a predicted model, not a curated record. Lineage: Eukaryota; Viridiplantae; Streptophyta; Magnoliopsida; Fabales; Fabaceae.